GUACUUGUCUGGACAGUGCACAUGCUGAAAUUGGAACAAGAGUGAAAAAGUUAGCAUGGCCCUUGGCCAAGGAUGAUGCGUACAUUUGUAAAGCAUUCAGAUCUUUA
Small nuclear RNA from Pongo abelii (Sumatran orangutan), 107 nucleotides. The record is from Ensembl. NCBI's taxonomy places the organism in Eukaryota, Metazoa, Chordata, Mammalia, Primates, Hominidae.